RNAcentral lists this long non-coding RNA (2209 nucleotides) under Anas platyrhynchos platyrhynchos (common mallard). Its description in RNAcentral is "lncRNA (ENSAPLG00000023616.1)". Lineage: Eukaryota; Metazoa; Chordata; Aves; Anseriformes; Anatidae. The record is from RNAcentral.
GUUGCAGGGUGGCAUUUUGGGGAGAAAUUCACAAAGACUGAGCUGUUCCUCUCCAGCUUAAUGUUUGUGAUGAACCACGGGGGGGAAAACGGUGCCCCAGAGCUGACUGCCACCAGCGUGCGCUGCGGCAGCCAAGGGGCUGAGCGUGUUUGUGCACACGUGUGGGGACAGAUGGGCGAGUGGCAAGGGGAAUCCCUCUGCUUCCUCAAGCAGAGAUUGCUUGUAUUGUCCUUUUCUGUGCAUAGCAGGUAACAAAUGAAGCAGCUGGCGUGCAUCUUAACCAGCCAGAGAUCCGGAGGCAGGGGGAGAAGGAAAAGCGCAGCCAGUCCAAAAGAUGCUUUGAAAGGGAGAAAACCUUGCUGCCAGGCUUCCUUCCAAGAGCAAAUUCUCUCUCUCUUUCUCUCCCUUUUGGUGCUGUGUUAUUCCUCCGUGGCCAGGAGGCUGCAGGCAUUUCAGAUCUCUUCUUCAAGCCCAUGUUUCAAAAAAAAGGGCCUGCAGAAUGUUUGCUUCUCAGGCUCAGCAAAUGGGAAGUGCACAAUGCAGCCGUCUCUAAGCCUCUCUUCUCCUGUCUCGGGGAGAAAGGAAUUUGCCAAGCCCUAGAGCCUGACUCACUCGCUGUGUGAGCAUGAAUUAACCAGGAAUGUUCGAGAAUUAUUCCUGAAUAAUUCAUGAACCUGAAUUAAUCAUGCAUUUUCAUGAAUUAUUCAUGAAUAACUCAUGGAAAUGCAAGGUUUAUUCAUGCUCCAAAAAAUCCAAGGCUUUUUCUCUUCUCUUCUGCUUUCUCUCCCUUGGGGACAGCAGGUGGGAGCUUUCUAAGCCAGACAAAGGAGACCUGAGAAGGAACUGUGGUGAAGGGACAAGCCCAAGGCAAAGGACUGUCCGGCCACCUCCUCUCCUGGAGCAGGCAGCUGAGAUCUGCAUAGCCAGGAGACAUUUUGCAAGACUCAACACCUGGAGCAGUGCUAACCAGGGAAACGAGCACCUGGUAAGUGGGGCAGGAAGGAGCAGCAGAGGAGUGAAGAUCAGUGCUUUUUGCUUUAAAUGGUGGGCAGCCCCGAUGUCAUCCAAGCUCUACGUCCUCAUCAGCUGGCCCGACGGCAGCCGUGUCAUCAACAUCGAGAACAUCAAGGAGCCCCGCAAGCCCUUCCAUCUCUACACGGUGGGCGAGCAGGUGCUGGCCCGCUGCCCCGGCUUCAGCGGGCUCUACUGGGGCAUGGUGGAGGGCAUCAGUGAGCACAAAGAUGUCCUGGAGAAGAAGCUGCAGGAAGACAGACAGCUCCUGGGGACGUUAAAAGAUGAACCGGCCAACCACAGCAUGAUGCCACCUCAGGCAAAAAAAUCCAGGAAAACCUUCCCAAAAUGGACCCCAGGGAAUGCCUCCAGGAAAUACGGGGACCGGAGUUACCCCAGCAAGCCGCUGCUGCGGGCAGCCGAGGCCAGCCUGCCCGGUGAUGUUGGCAGCUCCUCCAUCAUCAAGGAGAGACGUGCCCUGGGGCCACCCCACCCAGCCAGUGCCUUCACCCCCCCGGCCCCUUUCGUCACCCUUGCUGUGCCAGGGACAUCCCAGGGUGAAGAGGACAGGGCUGGCACCGCUACCAGAGAUUACGUUGCCCUGGCAAUGAAGAGGAAGUCAGAUGGCAUCUUGUCCCAGUGCCAGCAACACGUCUGUCUGAACAGCUGUGAAGAACGAAAGCUGGAUGCUUUGCAAGAGACGGAUGACUUUGAGAGAGUUCAGAAAAAAUUCGGUCCUGGUGAAAUGGAAAGGGAGAAGGUAGAGCAGCUGGAGAGGAUGGUCUUGGACCUGCAGCAGGACGUCCUCUCUCUGAAGAAGAAGGUGCAGCGGCUGGAAUCCCUCUCCUUCCAGGAGGAGCCCCACCGGCCGCCCUGCGAGGUGGUGGAGCUCUUCAACGGCUACACCAAGGAACAGCUCAAAGAGGCCAUCCGUUUCGACCAGAAAAUCAGCACGGCCUGCAAGACUCUGCUCUACAAGCUCUUCACCUCCGACUACAUCCAGAGCCACUCCAUCACGGGGCGGAGGGGCAACACGUUCCGGGAGGCGAAGCCCAUGAUGGACGAACGCUGCAUCAAAAUCAUCCGGGUGCUGUUGAAACAGAAGUUUGGCGAUCACCUCAGCGACACGGUGAUCACGGAGAAGAUACAGAACGUGCAGAAAGCCCUGAGGCAGAAGUUUAAGACAGAAUGUCUCUGA